RNAcentral lists this long non-coding RNA (336 nucleotides) under Canis lupus familiaris (dog). RNAcentral's name for it is "lncRNA (ENSCAFG00000052297.1, ENSCAFG00845001307.1)". The record is from RNAcentral. Lineage: Eukaryota; Metazoa; Chordata; Mammalia; Carnivora; Canidae.
GCUGAUGCCCUCAUUCACCGCCGCAGCAUCCAGGUUGCCUGGAAAAUGUACCUGCACACUCUCUGUGAUCUUUCACUCAAGAUAAGGAACUGUGACUUCCCCAAAAUCAGGCAGUUGCUGGGUUUAGAAGGAUUCCCUUGUUGCUGAAUCUUUAGACCAAGGAAUAGAAUAAUAGAAGAACAUCAAAUAAGGAAAUCAACCCUAACCCUUUUUCUGACUGAGAACACCCUCAUACUGCAUGGCUCCAAAUAAACAAAGUGCUGAUGGGAAUCGCCUGCCUCUAGGAUAUUCAAGACUUGUGGAGUAGUGGCUUUAUUUUGUAGCACUUGUUUGUAU